This 468-nucleotide ribosomal RNA is filed under the name uncultured bacterium. RNAcentral describes it as "partial 16S ribosomal RNA". It matches the Rfam family "Bacterial small subunit ribosomal RNA", at positions 28 to 507 of the family's 1533-position model. The record is from RNAcentral.
GACGAACGCUGGCGGCGUGCUUAACACAUGCAAGUCGAACGGAAAGGCCCUGCUUUUGUGGGGUGCUCGAGUGGCGAACGGGUGAGUAACACGUGAGUAACCUGCCCUUGACUUUGGGAUAACUUCAGGAAACUGGGGCUAAUACCGGAUAGGAGCUCCUGCUGCAUGGUGGGGGUUGGAAAGUUUCGGCGGUUGGGGAUGGACUCGCGGCUUAUCAGCUUGUUGGUGGGGUAGUGGCUUACCAAGGCUUUGACGGGUAGCCGGCCUGAGAGGGUGACCGGCCACAUUGGGACUGAGAUACGGCCCAGACUCCUACGGGAGGCAGAAGUGGGGAAUAUUGCACAAUGGGCGGAAGCCUGAUGCAGCAACGCCGCGUGCGGGAUGACGGCCUUCGGGAUGUAAACCGCUUUCGCCUGUGACGAAGCGUGAGUGACGGUAAUGGGUAAAGAAGCACCGGCUAACUACGUG